This 256-nucleotide ribosomal RNA is filed under the name uncultured bacterium. Its description in RNAcentral is "partial 16S ribosomal RNA". It matches the Rfam family "Bacterial small subunit ribosomal RNA", at positions 524 to 776 of the family's 1533-position model. The record is from RNAcentral.
UACGUAGGGUGCGAGCGUUGCCCGGAUUUAUUGGGCGUAAAGGGCGCGUAGGCGGUCAGCACAAGUCAGUUGUGAAAUCUCCGGGCUUAACUCGGAACGGUCAAGUGAUACUGUCGGACUAGAGUACAGAAGGGGCAACUGGAAUUCUCGGUGUAGCGGUGAAAUGCGUAGAGUAUCGAGAGGAACACCUGCGGCGAAGGCGGCAUCCUGGACCAUGACUGACGCUGAGGAGCGAAAGGCCAGGGGAGCAAACGGG